CCAGUAAUAUGUUACGAAUGUAUAUUUGUUAAUGAAAGUUUUGUGUUUUUUAUUGAAAUUUUAUAUUUUUAUUUGCAAUUUUUUAUAUUCUAACAGACGAUCAUUAAAUAUGAUAGAUAAACAAGUAGAAAAGAAUAUAGUAAUACAUAAUACUCUCCUGAUAUGUAAUACUCUCCUUAAACGUAAAUCAAAUUGUUUAAACCGGAUAUGAUGAUUAAAUUUUGUAUCGGCAUGGUUUUAUCUGUCUACUUUGCUUUUCAAUUUUGUUGCCAGCUUCAACCUAAUUCUUGAUUUAGAACUAUGAUUUUGAACUAAAACGUUUCCGUGUUGAAUAAAAUACUAUUUAUUCUUAACUGUAUUUUUUUUGAGGCUUCAGUUAUCAAAUGUUGGUGGUAAUUUUAGUUUUGCCACUGUGAAAGCGUCGAUUGUUAAGUAGACAUAAAAAGUUUGAAGUAUGCACAAAGCCUGAAAGUGUCAAAUAUGGAACCUAAAAAAACCUGCCUUUGCCACUGACUGACUAAAGGUUUUUUAAGGAAAGAGCUUAAAUAAAUUAACAGAAAAAAAAUAUUAUAAGUUAUACAUUUUUAUACUAAAAUAGAAUAAAAAUAUAUAUUUGUAGUUUUUAUUGUCACAAAUAUUAAAUAUUUGUGACACAAAAUAUAGAUAUUGAUGUCUGCCUUCUUUAAUGUCAUUAAUGCUUUAUCUACUGUUUUCUUUUUGUGCAUGACCUAAUUUCUUUUCAUAUCCAUAUUUUUUUAGGUCUGUUUGUCAAGCGUCAAGUCAGGUUAUUUUGCUAUUGGUUCCAUGUAAUACAUCCUGCUUAAGCAGGUUGUACGCCAUCCAUACGACGUUUGGGCAUCUGUUUGUAAAAUAUUGCUGCAAAUCUUUUUGAGAGAGCCAUUACUAUGGAUAACCAUCUAAACCAUACAAGUGUGGAAACAUAGAUCAGAACAUACCUGGCGCGCAUUUGAUCCUGAGAAACAUUCUUUUUGGACCAAAUGCUGGCUGGAUUAAUGUGAAAUAAACUGAUAAGUUUAUUUAACUUAGCUGG
This is a non-coding RNA of Hydra vulgaris (swiftwater hydra), 1051 nucleotides long. Lineage: Eukaryota; Metazoa; Cnidaria; Hydrozoa; Anthoathecata; Hydridae. The record is from RefSeq and is a predicted model, not a curated record.